GCCCCUGAACGCCCUUUCCUCCUCCCGUGGCCCACCGAAACAUGGCGGCCAAGAUCUUCUGUUGUUGCUGCAGGGCUGAUGAGAGGCCUCCUCCCACUGUUGGCUCCAGGACUCCAAGAAUGUCGCAGCAGCAGCAGCCGCGGUCCCUCAGUCUAAACAGAAAUUCCCACCAGAACGGUAUGCUGAGGAAACGCUCAGGCCUCCCCGCUGACAAGCGGGUGAUGCUCAAGGUGUUCCCGCUGGGCCGACCCUGAGCAACCUGCUAGCCGGCAGCACCCACGCGGGUCCCUAAGGCUACGCAGCUGCUGGAGCACCCCCAGGAGGAAGAGGGUGACGGCCAGGAGUCAUGAAGACCGAUUCAGAAACUCCCCCAGAGGAGGAGAAGACGUCUGAGCCAUCCUUGUGCCACCAGCAAAAGUCGCCCCCGCUCCUGAGAAGCUGCCACGGGAGGAGCUGCCUCCAAUUAAAGUCCUUGCUCGCAUCAGA
This is a non-coding RNA of Microcebus murinus (gray mouse lemur), 486 nucleotides long. The record is from RefSeq and is a predicted model, not a curated record. NCBI's taxonomy places the organism in Eukaryota, Metazoa, Chordata, Mammalia, Primates, Cheirogaleidae.